This 253-nucleotide ribosomal RNA is filed under the name uncultured bacterium. RNAcentral's name for it is "partial 16S ribosomal RNA". It matches the Rfam family "Bacterial small subunit ribosomal RNA", at positions 524 to 776 of the family's 1533-position model. The record is from RNAcentral.
UACGUAGGGUGCGAGCGUUGUCCGGAAUUAUUGGGCGUCAAGAGCUUGUAGGCGGUUUGUCGCGUCUGCUGUGAAAAUCCGGGGCUCAACCCCGGACUUGCAGUGGGUACGGGCAGACUAGAGUGUGGUAGGGGAGACUGGAAUUCCUGGUGUAGCGGUGGAAUGCGCAGAUAUCAGGAGGAACACCGGUGGCGAAGGCGGAUCUCUGGGCCAUAACUGACGCUGAGGAGCGAAAGCAUGGGGAGCGAACAGG